Long non-coding RNA from Sinocyclocheilus rhinocerous, 1578 nucleotides. RefSeq lists it as uncharacterized. The record is from RefSeq and is a predicted model, not a curated record. The transcript has 2 exons. NCBI's taxonomy places the organism in Eukaryota, Metazoa, Chordata, Actinopteri, Cypriniformes, Cyprinidae.
ACUGGUUAUUCUCUAAACAUCUCGGCCUUCAUGCCAUUUCAACACAUACUACUCAAAACUGGCAUAUUGUGAUGUUGAUGAGUUUCAGUGAUUUCCUCAGUUUGCUUCUGAAGAGCCGUACAGCACGUGAGCUGGAUAUAGUACUUUUCUGCUGUUUCCCAAAAGAAAUCAAAUCCUAACUCUGUCUUUUAUACGGACAUGUUUCAGAGAGGCAGAAAGCACAGAUCAUCCUCCAUUAGCAGCACUGAAACCCCGUGUUCACUAAUUCUGACAUGCACUAGUGUGUUUGUCUUCUCUGUUGAUGUCAUUUGUUCUGAUAACAACAGAAAACACACAGAGAAGCAGCGGCUCUCUGGAGUUCAGAGGUCGGUCAGUGAAGCAUUAACCAGCCGCCGUAAAUCCCUCUCAAUCAUCACGGGUUUCAGCUUUGCCUCAGAGCUCAGAGUCCAGCUCCAGAGACCGAGCUGAUGUCCACUGCAGCGGCGUUCCUGAGCGAGGUCCCGGGAUGGUUUCUGUGGACGGGAGUCUUCUUCCCCGUGACGGCUCUCCUGCUGCUGCUCAUCGCUCUCCUCAGCUGGAAACUCAGAGAGACAGAGGAAGAGCUGGCCGUGACACCAGACCCGUGGCAAACAGCCUAUCAUCUGUGUUACGGGCCGCGCUGCAGACACAGGACAGAGCGGACAAGACGAGCAUGAAACACACAGAACACCUGUGAAGAGUCAGUCCAGAUCACCUGAGCCAUCAGAGACGAACGAGAAGCGUGCAUGUGACCACAUCAAGCUAGAUUUAGACGCACCUCUCCUCACACAACAGACUGGAAGUCAUGAGACGCACAUGCAAAUUAUUCAAAAAGAAAAGUUUCCAUGUAGUCUGCUGUCACUGGUAAAGCCUGUACUCAUCUUCAGAUGUGUGUAGUGUUUGUAAUGACUAUUAUUACCAGUUAUGUUGAGCCUCUUCCUUUACUGUUCCAACAGCAAAAUCAUGUUCUUUACAGUAUCCUACUCAACUACAUCAGAAAUGGCUGACGACAUGAAUGUCAAAGAUGUCUGACACAUCUUCACACUUAAUGCUUCAACUUUAUCAAGAGUAAUGAGCAAAUACCAUAAAGAGACAGAAAUCUCCUGUUCUGCUAUAUUUAAUGAAGCCGCACAGCAGGAUGAACUAAAGAGUACGCUGUGUCACGCAGCAGGACACAAAAACCGCUUGUGUGCUCUCAGACAUCACAACACUCUCAAGGUCUUGCAAGGUUUUGGUUGUAUUUCACAGCUCUCCUUAUUCUGAUUGCUCAGUCACAGCACAGCGACUGACUGAAAUAAAAACAGCCUCGGGAGAACUUCAGUAGUACUUUUACAAUGAAUAAAAAUGGUUGAGAAUCUCCAGUUAAAGCAAGAAAAACACUAAAACCAUUUAACUCAGAAUGCAUAUGAAUAUAAAUGAAUAUUGUAAUGUUUUUGUUGUAGUGGACUAUCACUUGUAUCAUGCAUAUACUUCAGCUUCCAGCCAAAGUCACUUUAUUUUAUCGACCAAUGCCAAUUUUUACAUGCAUUUGGAGCCUGGCGUGAAUUAAAGGUGCAUUCA